RNAcentral lists this ribosomal RNA (467 nucleotides) under uncultured bacterium. RNAcentral's name for it is "partial 16S ribosomal RNA". It matches the Rfam family "Bacterial small subunit ribosomal RNA", at positions 28 to 507 of the family's 1533-position model. The record is from RNAcentral.
GAUGAACGCUGGCGGCGUGCUUAACACAUGCAAGUCGAACGGAAGGGCCCAAGCUUGCUUGGGUACUCGAGUGGCGAACGGGUGAGUAACACGUGGGUGAUCUGCCCUGCACUUCGGGAUAAGCCUGGGAAACUGGGUCUAAUACCGGAUAGGACCACUUCUUGGAUGUUGUGGUGGAAAGUUUUUUCGGUGUGGGUUGAGUUGGCGGCCUAUCGGCUUGUUGGUGGGGUAAUGGCCUACCAAGGCGUUGACGGGUAGCCGGCCUGAGAGGGUGUACGACCGCAUUGGGACUGAGAUACGGCCCAGACUCCUACGGGAGGCAGCAGUGGGGAAUAUUGCACAAUGGGCGCAAGCCUGAUGCAGCGACGCCGCGUGGGGGAUGACGGCCUUCGGGUUGUAAACUCCUUUCGCUAGGGACGAAGCGUUUUGUGACGGUACCUGGAGAAGAAGCACCGGCUAACUACGUG